CGCGGGGUGGAGCAGCCUGGUAGCUCGUCGGGCUCAUAACCCGAAGUCGUCGGUUCAAAUCCGGCCCCCGCAACCA
RNAcentral lists this transfer RNA (76 nucleotides) under Shigella sonnei. RNAcentral describes it as "tRNA-Met(cat)". It matches the Rfam family "tRNA". From Rfam's summary of the family: Transfer RNA (tRNA) molecules are approximately 80 nucleotides in length. Their secondary structure includes four short double-helical elements and three loops (D, anti-codon, and T loops). The record is from RNAcentral. Lineage: Bacteria; Pseudomonadati; Pseudomonadota; Gammaproteobacteria; Enterobacterales; Enterobacteriaceae. RNAcentral also lists the same sequence under 2 other names.